GACGAACGCUGGCGGCGUGCUUAACACAUGCAAGUCGAACGGUAAGGCCCUUCGGGGUACACGAGUGGCGAACGGGUGAGUAACACGUGGGUGAUCUGCCCUGCACUUCGGGAUAAGCCUGGGAAACUGGGUCUAAUACCGGAUAGGACCACUGCCUGCAAGGGUGGUGGUGGAAAGCUUUUGCGGUGUGGGAUGGGCCCGCGGCCUAUCAGCUUGUUGGUGGGGUGAUGGCCUACCAAGGCGACGACGGGUAGCCGGCCUGAGAGGGUGACCGGCCACACUGGGACUGAGAUACGGCCCAGACUCCUACGGGAGGCAGCGGUGGGGAAUAUUGCACAAUGGGCGCAAGCCUGAUGCAGCGACGCCGCGUGAGGGAUGACGGCCUUCGGGUUGUAAACCUCUUUCAGCACCGACGAAGCGCAAGUGACGGUAGGUGCAGAAGAAGGACCGGCCAACUACGUGCCAGCAGCCGCCGUAA
This 478-nucleotide ribosomal RNA is filed under the name uncultured bacterium. Its description in RNAcentral is "partial 16S ribosomal RNA". It matches the Rfam family "Bacterial small subunit ribosomal RNA", at positions 28 to 523 of the family's 1533-position model. The record is from RNAcentral.